UGUUAAAAAUUUCAUCUAUUAGUACUGUUGGAAUCUAACAUGACUAAUAGAAUAAUCAAACAGUGAUGUAUUGCUUAUCAUGUUGACAUAUAAAGGUUAAUUUUUAAUCGUAAAAAUAGAUGAAAUUUUUAGUA
This is a non-coding RNA of Gossypium arboreum, 134 nucleotides long. Lineage: Eukaryota; Viridiplantae; Streptophyta; Magnoliopsida; Malvales; Malvaceae. The record is from Rfam.